UAUAUAUUAUGUAUUAUAUACAUAUAAUCUGCUUAUAUAUGUAAUCUUCCUCAUAUUUCCAGACUCAGCUGACACUGAAUUGCCUCCAAGAAACAUUCCCUGAUCCAGCCAGCUACGAUUUCUCCUUCUAGUAAAGCUUUACAAUCUUGCACUUGGUUCCUCUUCUAUGAUACUCAUCUCAUCUAAGACAGAAGGGUUUAUUAAAAAAAAGCACUCUCCAUUCAUUCUCAAACAUUACUAUGUUUGUUAUUCCUUAUGACUAGAAGAAUGGAGGCUUCGAGGCAGAAUCUCAGCAGGAGCAAAAGUGUGUUGUCAUUACAUAACAUACAAUUCACUGUCCACUGCCAAGAAUAAUCUGAUAAAAUUACUUCAUCUGAGAAUAAAUUAGUCAAAAGCCAUCCAAAAAUUGCUUAUCAGUGGCAUCAUCAUAUACAGAGGUGGUACAGAAAGAAGACUGCAAAAAUACUUGUGGGCGCAGAUCCUGAAAUUUUGCGCAACAAAUCCAAAGGAAACAUUUAUUGUGAUCAUAAUGGAAAGCCAACCAAACAGACCCAUCUAUGAACUGGCAUAGGUUGAUCUCCCUGCAGGCUGUGGAGUAUUUGCAAGGUGAAAGAGAAUGCAGAUGGCCAGGCCUUGUGCAUUUUAAAAGUUCAGAAGCUCUAGCCACUUACAGGAAGUCUGGGGCCUGGGGUCCAGCCUGGGCUAUGCUUAAAAGCCAAAAAAAAAAAAGUGAGAGAGAGAGAGUCUUCCAUUGUUCAGUGAGAGAUUUGUAA
Molecule: long non-coding RNA, 773 nt
Filed under: Monodelphis domestica (gray short-tailed opossum)
Lineage: Eukaryota; Metazoa; Chordata; Mammalia; Didelphimorphia; Didelphidae
Description: lncRNA (ENSMODG00000035319.2)
Source: RNAcentral